This 29-nucleotide ribosomal RNA is filed under the name Melampodium leucanthum. RNAcentral's name for it is "partial 26S ribosomal RNA". RNAcentral also lists the same sequence under 2 other names. Lineage: Eukaryota; Viridiplantae; Streptophyta; Magnoliopsida; Asterales; Asteraceae. The record is from RNAcentral.
UCGCGACCCCAGGUCAGGCGGGACUACCC